RNAcentral lists this ribosomal RNA (433 nucleotides) under uncultured bacterium. Its description in RNAcentral is "partial 16S ribosomal RNA". It matches the Rfam family "Bacterial small subunit ribosomal RNA", at positions 29 to 507 of the family's 1533-position model. The record is from RNAcentral.
AACGAACGCUGGCGGCAUGCCUAACACAUGCAAGUCGAACGAGACCUUCGGGUCUAGUGGCGCACGGGUGCGUAGAGCGUGGGAACCUGCCCUUAGGUUCGGACUAACUCCCCGAAAGGGGUGCUAAUACAGGAUAAUGUCUUCGGACCAACGAUUUCUCGCCUUUGGAUGGGCCCGCGUUGGAUUAGCUAGUUGGUAGGGUAACAGCCUGCCAUGGCGACGAUCCGUGGCUGGUCGGUGAGGAGGAUCAGCCACACUGGGAAUGAGACACGGCCCAGACUGCGACGCAAGGGUGCAGUGGGGAGCACUGGAGGAGGGGCGAAGGUGUGACACAGCAGCGCCGCGGGUGACAUGCAGGCCGUAGGGUUGUAAAGCUCUUUUAGCCGAGGUGAUAAUGACAGUACCGGGAGAAUAAGCACCGGCUAACUACGUG